GGCCCCGUAGCUCAGCAGGAUAGAGCAGCGGUUUCCUAAACCGGAGGUCGGGUGUUCGAGUCACCCCGGGGUCGCCA
Molecule: transfer RNA, 77 nt
Filed under: Brevundimonas sp.
Lineage: Bacteria; Pseudomonadati; Pseudomonadota; Alphaproteobacteria; Caulobacterales; Caulobacteraceae
Also listed under: 3 other names
Description: tRNA-Arg
Rfam family: tRNA
About the family: Transfer RNA (tRNA) molecules are approximately 80 nucleotides in length. Their secondary structure includes four short double-helical elements and three loops (D, anti-codon, and T loops).
Source: RNAcentral